RNAcentral lists this microRNA (21 nucleotides) under Ananas comosus (pineapple). Its description in RNAcentral is "microRNA s0232_c085". Lineage: Eukaryota; Viridiplantae; Streptophyta; Magnoliopsida; Poales; Bromeliaceae. The record is from RNAcentral.
AAGUCGUAACAAGGUUUCCGU